CAAGACAUCAAGGGUUAGUUCAGUACAUGUACAUGCAAAUAAUAUUUCACUGUAUGCAGCACAAUUUUUGUUAUUUUUGUGCUCACUAAGUUUAAGCCACCUCUAGUCCCAUUCUAUUGUACAUGUAUGUAUAAAGACUGUGACCACAAUAGGGUACAUGUAUCUAGUGUUCGUGUAUAAUGUAUCUCUGUCUGUUUGUAGUGUUCCAAUGUCAGUUGCUCCUACUUCUAAUCAAUCCAUGAUCAAUGAAAGAAGGCUAUCAGCUCCUUUAUCAUGGAGUGAUUUUCAAUCACAACUAGCAAACAAUGGAAGCUAUUCACAUCAACGUCCAUCACAGGUAGAGAUGUCUUCUGCUAGAUAUUCAAUAAAACCCAGUCCAAUGAUCAACUCCAUCAGAUUAUAAAUGACAAUUAAUAUUGACAAUAAUAAAUAUAAUUAUUGAACUGUUCUGUUUAUGAGCUGAGCUCUAAAUACUAAUAUCACUUAAAUACUAA
This is a long non-coding RNA of Amphimedon queenslandica, 494 nucleotides long. RefSeq lists it as uncharacterized. The record is from RefSeq and is a predicted model, not a curated record. NCBI's taxonomy places the organism in Eukaryota, Metazoa, Porifera, Demospongiae, Haplosclerida, Niphatidae. The transcript has 3 exons.